This 66-nucleotide transfer RNA is filed under the name Mirounga leonina (Southern elephant seal). RNAcentral's name for it is "transfer RNA-Pro". It matches the Rfam family "tRNA". Rfam says of the family: Transfer RNA (tRNA) molecules are approximately 80 nucleotides in length. Their secondary structure includes four short double-helical elements and three loops (D, anti-codon, and T loops). RNAcentral also lists the same sequence under 1 other name. The record is from RNAcentral. Lineage: Eukaryota; Metazoa; Chordata; Mammalia; Carnivora; Phocidae.
CAGGGGAUAGUUUAAGUAGAAUGUCAGCUUUGGGUGCUGAUGGUGGGGUUAUUUCCUCUUCCUUGA